AUGCAAUCCACCGAGGCAGAGGUCAUAGCCCGCCCCACGCUCCACUCGGACGCCCAGGACGCUGUGGCUGCAGAGGUCGCCCCCCUCCCCCUCCACAAAAAGUGCCUCCCGGUGGCCCCGCGGUCCCGGCGAGGUCUGGCGAGGCAGCGCCCGGCGGCUCUUUCUCUCGGCUCGACUCCCUCGCUCGCUCCCCGACUCGGCUCUCUCUCUCUCUUUUUUGUUCUCCUCAAACGCACACUGAGGGCCCCCAGAUCCCACAUCACGAGGCACCCCUUUAGUCCACAGAGGCUAUGGCGUCUCUGCCACCCACCCCUGAACACCUGCCCUGUUACCACCCUUACUCAUGAAUGCUCACUGAGCGUCUUUGCACCAAGCAUACCAUUCCAGGUCCUGGGGAGGGACACACCAGGAGCUUUCAUUCUGAUGAAGGAAAGGAUGGAAACAGAUGAUUAAACAAAAAUGAGUAAAGCAUAAGACUACUUUAAGUAAGUUUCGUUAUAGAUAAAUUUACUGUCAUUGAAAAUAAGGGCUUAGGUUUAAAAGAAAAAAAAAAAAAUGCCAGGAUGGAUUUUGGGAGUGUAGGGUGGAAUUGCUCUUUAGUGGGAUUAUCAGGUAGACCUCCUUGAGGAGGUGACAUUUGCUCAAAGAGUCAAAGGAGGCACGGCGGUGGACCUUAAGGAUUCUGAGGAAGAACAGUCCAAGCAGAAGGAACAGCCAGGACAAAGGCCCCUGUUUGAGUCCAUGUUGCCUCUUCUGUGCACCCACAUUUUCAUCUCUUUAUUUGGCCCUGAGCAGAAUUCAGGAGGGGCUUCCCUGGUGGCUCAGUGGUAUAGAUUCCACCUGCCAAUACAGGAGAUGCAGGUUCGAUCCCUGGGUCAGGAAGAUCCCCUGGAAUAGGAAAUGGCAAGCCACUCUAGUAUUCUUGCCUAAAAAAUCCCAUGGGCAGAGGAGCCUGUCAGACUACAGUCCUUGGGGUCGCAAAGAGCUGGACACAACUUAGAGACUAAACAACGACAGAGUUCAGGUGUGUUAGAGAAAGCUGCUCACCUGGUCACCUGUCCUGCUGCACCAGGAGCUCCCUGGGGCAGAAACCCUGUAACGGUCAAGUUCAUAGUCACCUCAGACCCCACCCUGACAUGUCCAGACACACACACACCCAGACCCACACCCUCAUGCCCAGACAUACACACCCAAACUUGUAUAUAGAGAUCCACACACUAUGGUCAAUAGAGAGGCCUCAGUGAUUGUCUAUUGAGAUGAACUGAGUGCAGAGUAAAUAAUAAUUAAGUGCACCCAGCCCCAUCUAGUUUACAAAGGUCUCCCUUAUGUCUGCUCUUUGAGCUUGAGAACUGGGUGGUUAUUAAAGUGAGGCUCAGAGAGACCAAGGUGAACAGGCUGGUCACUGGUAUUUGCAGUACUGGAACCCAGCUCUUCUGAUUACCAUCCAAUAUGUUUUCAUUAAAAAAAAAAUAGAUCAGACAUGAACGUAGAACAAAAUGUCUACAGAAGCAAGUGUCCCUCUUCUCCCCACGCUCCCCACCCUCCUGCGAGGCACUCAGCUUCCUCCCUAGAGGCAGAGUGCAUGUCUCCGUUUACUUUCAAUGGAUACUCAGGCUCUCCUCUCUCUGUGAAGAGAAUGUGCAUUGCAGAUACACCUGAUGUUAUGAAAACAGGCCAGGAGCCCCCGCUCUGGAAGCAGCCUCUUUGCUCCUAGAUUGUCUGGAGCCAGACUUGGUAUCCACUUGGUUUCCCAAAACCUACAAGUAUCUUGGAUCCAUGACAUGGUCACUAAAUGUCUCACAUCUUCAGUCUUAGGGAUGAUCCACUCAUCACGAGGAGCUCAAAGAGAGGAAAUGGGGAAACAAAAAGAAGAUGGAAGGAGUAGGGGAAACCAGGCACUGCAGGAAAUCACACUGUGCUGGAGUUCUUUAAAAUGAGGCCCCCAUUUAAUGACCUCUGGAUUCCUUCCCAGGGCUUUCAAAGCUGAUGGACUGUGAAUUCCCAGUGAAAAGCAUGGUCUGGAGUCACUGGAUGACCAUCCAUGCUGCACCUUAGCAAGUUGCCCCAAACACACUCAACUACAACUGUGGAGUCCAGUGUAUGGGUCUCCUUUACCAGGAGCAGAUGAAAAUGAGUCAGUCAUGGACCUGCCGCAAGGACCCUACAGACGAGGGGAGACACACACAUGCAUCCCAGUUGGACAGUGCUCGGGGAGUCUUGAGAGAUUAAAGGAUGCUGCUUCUCCUGGAGGCGGAGAAGGAAAGAGAAGAAGGAUUACACAGAACCCCCCAGCAGAGGAGCUGACAUAUGCAAAGAGCAAGGACACUUAAGAAAUGCUAACAGGGUGCUUUCCUAGUGGUCCAGUGAUUAAGAAUCUGCCUUGCAAUGCAAGGGACACCAGCUGUAUCCCUGGUCUGGGAAGAUCCCACAUGCCUCGGAGCAACUAAGCCUGUAAGCUACAAUUGCUGAGCCCAUGCCCCUCAGCCACAGAAGCUCAUACUCCUGAGCCCGUGCCCCUCAGCCGCUGAAGCUCAUACUCCUGAGCCCUUGCGCGCCCCCCGCCCCCCCAGCCACUGAAGCUCAUACUCCUGAGCCCGUGCCCCUCAGCCACUGAAGCUCAUGGGCCUGGUGUCUAUGCUCUGCAACAAGAGAAGCCACCCCAAUGAGAAGCCUGCACACUGCAUCAAAGAGGAGCCCCUGUUUGCCGCAACUAGAGAAAGCCCAUGUACGAAUGAAGUCCUAGCACAGCCAAAAAAUAAAAGAAAUAAAUCUUUUUCUAAAAAAGAAAAGAAAUGCCAAGGGGAAUUUUGACUUUGGGCGGCAGAGAUCAAACAGGAAGGGUCAGUGGGGGGUCAGAAGCGAAGGGCCUGGAUGUUAAGGGGAUGUGUUUGAUUUUAUCUAACUAAGUGGAGGUUUUCAAGAGGGUUAUGGAAGGAUCUGAUUGUGUAUUAUCUGGAUCUCUCACAGACCAUGAGCAGCAUAGAGGAGGGAGUGGAGGCCUCCAGGGCAUGGGAUAUGAAGUUCUGACUUUAGUUGAGCAGAGAGAAUGUAUUUAUGAUGCUUUAUUUCUUAAAUAGGGUGAUGGGGACACUGUUUCUACUUUUUUUUUUUAAUAUGUCUCAAAUAAUUCCUAAUGAAAAAGGAAAUUUUAAAUAAAAAAGAUAAAGUCGUGGACUUCACUUGUGGUCCAGUGGUUAAUAACCCGCCUACCAAUGCAAGGGACACAGGCUUGAUAACUGGUCUGGGAAGAUUCCACAUGACAUGGAGCACUAAGCUCCUGUGCCACAACUACUGAGCCCACAUUCCCCAAGUACUGAAAGCCUGCAUGCUCCUGAGCCUGUGCUUUGGAACAAAAGAAGCCACUGGAAUAAGAGGCCUGAGCAUCAAAACCAAGAGUAGCCUCUGCUCACCACAACUAGAGAAGGCCCCCGGCACAGCAAUCAAGACCUGCCACAGCCAAAAAUAAAAUAUUAGUUUUUUUAAAUGUCCUGAAUUAUAAAAAAAAUAAGACAAAGUCAGUGAAUAUAAGCUCCAAGAAGGUGCAGAUAACAAUAGCUAGUAAUGAAGCUUGUUAUGCACUUAAUCAGAAAGCUUAAUAGGCACUAUUCCUAGAACUUUGUAAGUAUGCAGUCAUAUAAUCGUCACAACCCCAUGAAAUGGGUGUUUUACUCCCAAAUUACACAUCGGGAUAAGAAGUAUAGAGAAGCUGAGUCUCUUGUGCAAAGUCACCUGGUCAGUAGGAUAGAAAGCAGGGCUUCAGGGAUCACAUUUCACCAAGGCUUGUACUGCCACAUGGCUCCUGCUCACUACCACGUCCCCAGCACCUGGCACAGACCAGGUCUAUAGUAAACUUUCACUGAAUGAAUGCACCCCAGAGAGGCUCAGCAAGUUCCCAUAGGCAACACGGCCCAGCCCUUUAAUAGUAUGCCCCCGUGGGGAGCCCUGUGGACCGGCUGCGACCUGGCCACACGCCUUCCUCCCUCUCCUGCUCAUUCUGCCUCCAGGCCCAGCCGUCCUGGGUUAGUAUGCCUACCGUAGCCUAAGCCUAACUCAGGCCAGCGGAGACAGGCGGCCACACUCGCCAGAUCGGGGUGCAGAGAGGGAUGCAAGGCCGGCAAGGGGCGAGGUUAGAUGGAGCAGGACCUGGGUGGGGCGGGGCUAGGGCGGGGCCGACGCCAGGUGGAACAUCUCCGGGAAAGCACCGCCCUCCUGCUUUCUGCAGGGCCUCGCGGUCACUCCCUCGCUCCCUCGGAGAGAUCCCCCUUUUUGGGGGGCCAGUUUUCAAACCCAAAAUGGCUGUGCAAAGUUCUAG
Long non-coding RNA from Bos grunniens (domestic yak), 4312 nucleotides. NCBI's taxonomy places the organism in Eukaryota, Metazoa, Chordata, Mammalia, Artiodactyla, Bovidae. The record is from Ensembl.